Long non-coding RNA from Paralichthys olivaceus (Japanese flounder), 1511 nucleotides. RefSeq lists it as uncharacterized. NCBI's taxonomy places the organism in Eukaryota, Metazoa, Chordata, Actinopteri, Pleuronectiformes, Paralichthyidae. The record is from RefSeq and is a predicted model, not a curated record.
GCUAACACCCCGCUAACAUCCCGCUAACACCCCGCUAACACCCCGCUAACAUCCCGCUAACAUCCCGCUAACACGCCACGGUCCCUGCACAGUUUGUUUACCCAAGUGUAGAGAGGCAGGGAGGGAUCCGUCUCCGGCCCCGAGCUGCGGUGUUGUGUGACACACUUAACUAACGUCACUCGGGACCCAGGGAGGUGAGCUGCAGAUACGCCACAUCAACACCAGGGGGCGCUCUUCACGUACUAUUCAAAGAGUCACUUGUGGAAGUUAUGACCAAGUAAAUGAAAAGGUGAGGUGAGGGGUGAAAACUUGACGACUCAAUAUCAAGAGUGUAUAAGUGUGGCGCAAUAGGCCAACAUGUUGGCUUGACGUGACAGAAACUGGGGUGAACAGGGAUCUGUCGUCACUGUCUUGUUCCAGCAUCAUGUUUGUUUUCUCCUUGUCUCGACCCGCUGGGAGCGCCUCCCUCCCCUGCCGGGCUGACAACCUCAGAUGCACGCCAGGAGCCCACCUUCUGUCUGCGGCUGGACCACUUGGCUGCUUCACAAAGGCCUUUCUGGAAUGACAGAGCCCACCAGAGGAAACGACAGCUUGAUCACAAAAAGUCCCUGUGUGACCGUGAUACUGGCUUUCACCUCCGAAAACUCAAACAUCUCAUUCUGAUGUGGUUCGAAGUCAUUGCAGAGGUGGUGGUGCAGAGCCAAUUACUGCUGGGCAAAGUUCUUACACACUCAAGUUACAUUUCCUAUUAGAUGUUCAACCAAUAAAGCUACUAGUUUGAAGUUCACAGGGUAAUUGAACAUGGCAAAUGAAUACAAAUUUAGAGGGCUGUAUGAUAAGGGUCAGGCUGGUAAGAGGAUCUGGAGUCAUUUACUUGAUCUAACAGAAGAAAUGUCACAGUAGGAAUAAAUUCAUUUUUCCCGCCUGAAUGAUAAAAACGCUCACUUUGAAUAUCCUUUGAUGUCACUGUCAUAUGUGCGUGCAGUUUGUAAGACACAAGAUAAUGUGAUGGUUUUCUUUAAAGAUAAGUGGUGUGACGUGGACUCAUGCUGCAUCUUAUCAAGUAAUGCUUCAGCGAUCAAGCAGGACGCCACCGAGAAUCUGCUGCCCCUCUGUCUCCUUGAUGUCCUUCCUCUGCCCCUCACAUUGUCACUAUAGAAUACAGAUAGAGCACUGCCUUCUUCCUGUAUGUAUAGCCCCCUCCUGAAUGAGCACUUCCUCCAUGCAGCAAGUGUAGUGCGGGAGCAGCCUGCAUGUCUUUGUGUCUCUACUGCUGGGCACGUAGCAGUAGGUGUAGGCUGGCUGAGGCAUUGUCAUUCUCUGGAUGACAUGCGCAAGUCAUCCAUUGAUCUCCCACUUUGAAGUGCAUCGCUGCAGGACCCGCGAGAGCUGUCUGUGUUAUGUUGGGGGCUCACGGUGGUCAACAGGGGGCGCCCAAUACCAGAGAGGCCUGAGGCCUCACGACUGGUGCCAGGCUCAUAGACUGCAGCAAUAAAAUUCUCACCUCAUUA